This 584-nucleotide long non-coding RNA is filed under the name Elaeis guineensis (African oil palm). RNAcentral's name for it is "long non-coding RNA (EGUI_LNC049524)". Lineage: Eukaryota; Viridiplantae; Streptophyta; Magnoliopsida; Arecales; Arecaceae. The record is from RNAcentral.
CCUUCCUAUCCCUACCUUUCUUCUCUCAUUGUCUUCCUUAAUUCUCUUCCUAGAUUUAUCCUAAAAUCGAACUUGUCCUUACUAUUUUAAGACUUGUCAUAAUAAGAAAAAGAAGUGACUAAUUGGAUAAUAGGGAGAGCGUAUAAGAAAGAAAAGAUAAGAGCAAUUUUCUGAAUGAAUUAAAUCUCCGAUGCAGCCCCCUUUAAAUAGUUAGCGACGGCUUGCCUUCGAGAAUGAUUCACGCCCCCUCCACGUGCCAUCUCUCAUCCAUCAGAAAAUCUCACACCCAUGGAUGAAUUCUUACACCCAUAUAAAAGAUUUUGACACAUAGCAAUCAUUGAAAAAAAAUUCAAGAGAUGCUUCGCACAGGAGUCUUCGGAACAUCUUUCUCGAUGAUUCUCUGAUGCAUCACGCAGCUUCCCAUGGCAUAAUUUUUCUCCACCAGCUAUCAGUGACUUUUGUCCAUCCAUUAGCUUAAAAUUUAGGUGCUAACUUGCUGAUGGCAUGAAAAAAAUCUAAAAAUAAGAUGAGACGUGACACAUAGAUUAGAGUCCUUUAUAAGUUAGACUCUUGGUCAGGCACAU